This 462-nucleotide ribosomal RNA is filed under the name uncultured bacterium. RNAcentral's name for it is "SSU rRNA". It matches the Rfam family "Bacterial small subunit ribosomal RNA", at positions 26 to 518 of the family's 1533-position model. The record is from RNAcentral.
AGAACGAACGCUGGCGGCAUGCCUAACACAUGCAAGUCGAACGCUCACCGGGCUUCGGUUCGGUGGGAGUGGCGCACGGGUGAGUAGCGCGUGGGAACCUGCCCUGUUGUGGGGGAUAACCGAGGGAAACUUCGGCUAAUACCGCAUGCGCCCGGGGAAACCCGGGGAAAGAUUUAUCGCAGCAGGAGGGGCCCGCGUCGGAUUAGGUAGUUGGUAGGGUAACGGCCUACCAAGCCUUUGAUCCGUAGCUGGUCUGAGAGGAUGAUCAGCCACACUGGGACUGAGACACGGCCCAGACUCCUACGGGAGGCAGCAGUGGGGAAUAUUGGACAAUGGGCGCAAGCCUGAUCCAGCAAUGCCGCGUGAGUGAUGAAGGCCUUAGGGUUGUAAAGCUCUUUCGACGGGGACGAUAAUGACGGUACCGUAGAAGAAGCUCCGGCUAACUUCGCGCCAGCACGCCGC